CGUUCUAUUGCCGAAUUGGUAAAGGCAUCGCCGAUCACAGGAGGGGUUGCGGGUUCGAGUCCCGCUGUAACGA
Molecule: transfer RNA, 73 nt
Filed under: Operophtera brumata (winter moth)
Lineage: Eukaryota; Metazoa; Arthropoda; Insecta; Lepidoptera; Geometridae
Rfam family: tRNA
About the family: Transfer RNA (tRNA) molecules are approximately 80 nucleotides in length.
Source: Rfam by way of RNAcentral